This 467-nucleotide ribosomal RNA is filed under the name uncultured bacterium. RNAcentral's name for it is "partial 16S ribosomal RNA". It matches the Rfam family "Bacterial small subunit ribosomal RNA", at positions 28 to 507 of the family's 1533-position model. The record is from RNAcentral.
GACGAACGCUGGCGGCGUGCUUAACACAUGCAAGUCGAACGGAAAGGCCUCUUUCGGGGGGUACUCGAGUGGCGAACGGGUGAGUAACACGUGAGUAACCUGCCCUUGACUUUGGGAUAACUUCAGGAAACUGGGGCUAAUACCGGAUAGGAGCUCCUGCUGCAUGGUGGGGGUUGGAAAGUUUCGGCGGUUGGGGAUGGACUCGCGGCUUAUCAGCUUGUUGGUGGGGUAGUGGCUUACCAAGGCUUUGACGGGUAGCCGGCCUGAGAGGGUGACCGGCCACAUUGGGACUGAGAUACGGCCCAGACUCCUACGGGAGGCAGCAGUGGGGAAUAUUGCACAAUGGGUGGAAGCCUGAUGCAGCAACGCCGUGUGCGGGAUGACGGCCUUCGGGUUGUAUACCGCUUUCGCUCAUGACGAAGCUUUGUGUGACGGUAGUGGGUAAAGAAGCACCGGCUAACUACGUG